Molecule: ribosomal RNA, 572 nt
Filed under: uncultured fungus
Lineage: Eukaryota; Fungi
Description: eukaryotic LSU rRNA
Rfam family: Eukaryotic large subunit ribosomal RNA
Source: RNAcentral
AAACCAACAGGGAUUACCUCAGUAACGGCGAGUGAAGCGGUAACAGCUCAAAUUUGAAAUCUGGGUCUUUCAGGCUCCGAGUUGUAAUUUGUAGAAGAUGCUUCGGGUGCGGCUCCGGUCUAAGUUCCUCGGAACAGGACGUCAUAGAGGGUGAGAAUCCCGUAUGUGAUCGGUUGCUUGCGCCCAUGUGAAGCUCUUUCGACGAGUCGAGUUGUUUGGGAAUGCAGCUCAAAAUGGGUGGUAAAUUUCAUCUAAAGCUAAAUAUUGGCCAGAGACCGAUAGCGCACAAGUAGAGUGAUCGAAAGAUGAAAAGCACUUUGGAAAGAGAGUUAAACAGUACGUGAAAUUGUUGAAAGGGAAGCGCUUGCAACCAGACUUGCGCGUUGCCGAUCAUCCGGGGUUCUCCCCGGUGCACUCGGCCUCGCUCAGGCCAGCAUCGGUUUUGGUGGUGGGAUAAAGGCCUUGGGAAUGUAGCUCCUUUCGGGGAGUGUUAUAGCCCUCGGUGCAAUGCCGCCUACCGGGACCGAGGACCGCGCUUCGGCUAGGAUGCUGGCGUAAUGGUUGUAAGCGAC